GAUGAAGAACGCAGCGAAAUGCGAUAAGUAGUGUGAAUUGCAGAAUUCAGUGAAUCAUCGAAUCUUUGAACGCACAUUGCGCCCUUUGGUAUUCCUUAGGGCAUGCCUGUUCGAGCGUCAUUUGAAACCUCAAGCUCAGCUUGGUGUUGGGUGUCUGUCCCCGCCUCCGCGGGGACUCGCCUCAAAAUCAUUGGCGGCCGGUACGUUGGCUUCGAGCGCAGCAGAAACGCGAACUCGAGGCCCGGCGGAUCGGCGACCAGAAGUCUCUUCUUCACAGUUUGACCUCGGAUCAGGUAGGGAUACCCGCUGAACUUAAGCAUAUCAAUAAGCGGAGA
RNAcentral lists this unclassified non-coding RNA (335 nucleotides) under soil metagenome. RNAcentral describes it as "partial contains 5.8S ribosomal RNA, internal transcribed spacer 2, and large subunit ribosomal RNA". The stretch from base 1 to 120 matches the Rfam family "5.8S ribosomal RNA", at positions 35 to 154 of the family's 154-position model. The record is from RNAcentral.